UACGUAGGCAGCGAGCGUUGUUCGGAGUUACUGGGCGUAAAGGGUGUGUAGGCGGUUGUCUAAGUUUGGUGUGAAAUCUCCCGGCUCAACUGGGAGGGUGCGCCGAAAACUGGAUGACUCGAGUGCGGGAUAGGAGAGUGGAAUUCCUGGUGUAGCGGUGAAAUGCGUAGAUAUCAGGAGGAACACCGGUGGUGUAGACGGCUCUCUGGACCGUAACUGACGCUGAGACACGAAAGCGUGGGUAGCAAACAGG
This 253-nucleotide ribosomal RNA is filed under the name uncultured bacterium. RNAcentral describes it as "partial 16S ribosomal RNA". It matches the Rfam family "Bacterial small subunit ribosomal RNA", at positions 524 to 776 of the family's 1533-position model. The record is from RNAcentral.